This 652-nucleotide long non-coding RNA is filed under the name Arabidopsis lyrata. RNAcentral's name for it is "long non-coding RNA (ALYR_LNC002182)". Lineage: Eukaryota; Viridiplantae; Streptophyta; Magnoliopsida; Brassicales; Brassicaceae. The record is from RNAcentral.
UCCAAGACCAAGUUCACCAAGAGGUGCCUCCCCACAAGCCGUCUCUUCAAAGCCGCCUUCUCCAAGAGCAGAGCUACCAACAUUGGACACUCCAAGACCUCCUUCUCCAAGAGCUGCUUCUUCAAGGGCAGAGCCACCAACAUUGGACACUCCAAGACCUCCUUCCCCAAAAACUGCCUCUCCAAGGGCAGACCCACCAAGAUUCGAUGCUCCAAGACCCACCACGCCUAAACCUCCUUCUCCAAGAGCAGACACACCAAGAUUGGAUGCUCCAAGACCUACCACGCCUAAGCCUCCUUCUCCAAGAGCAGACGCACCAAGAUUGGAUGCUCCAAGACCCACUACGCCUAAGCCCUCUUCUCCAAGAGCGGUUUCGCCUAGGGGUGUGCAGCGACGAGAGGUUGUUUAUAGACCAGAGGCGACGCUUCCGGUCCAACAUGCUUCUGCAACAAAGAUUCAAGGAGCUUUCAGAGGUUACAUGGUACGUAUACACAUUCUUUGUUUAUGUUACAAUAUUUUUCCAUUACACUAGCCUCCAUUUCCAAGACAAGGAAGUUAUUGACUUGUGUGAAACAGGCAAGGAAGAGUUUCAGAGCUCUCAAAGGUCUAGUCAGACUUCAAGGUGUGGUGAGAGGAUACAGUGUGAAGCGGC